This 305-nucleotide ribosomal RNA is filed under the name uncultured bacterium. RNAcentral's name for it is "bacterial SSU rRNA". It matches the Rfam family "Bacterial small subunit ribosomal RNA", at positions 337 to 634 of the family's 1533-position model. The record is from RNAcentral.
CCCUACGGGGGGCAGCAGUAGGGAAUCUUCCACAAUGGGCGAAAGCCUGAUGGAGUAACGCCGCGUGGGUGAAGAAGGUCUUCGGAUCGUAAAACCCUGUUGUUAGAGAAGAAAGUGCGUGAGAGUAACUGUUCACGUUUCGACGGUAUCUAACCAGAAAGCCACGGCUAACUACGUGCCAGCAGCCGCGGUAAUACGUAGGUGGCAAGCGUUAUCCGGAUUUAUUGGGCGUAAAGGGAACGCAGGCGGUCUUUUAAGUCUGAUGUGAAAGCCUUCGGCUUAACCGGGGUAGUGCAUUGGAAACU